GACCAGGCUCCGAGCAGGGGAAGAUGCCCCAGCACCUGGGACAAUUAAGUGCUGUAAGCAGGGACUAGGGAGCUGGAGAGAGAUCCUGGCAGGCUGCUGGGGCUUGCAGGCUGAGUCCCUGAGGUCCAGAUCCGCACAAGCCUACCUUUCCUGGUAGAACAUUUGAUGAUCAUCAUAAUGGCAAGAUUUACUUUGGGAAAGCUUUAUAAUGCGCGACCAUGAAAAGGCUCAACGAUAAGAUGCCAUUUUGUAUUGAGUCACCACAAAUGAUAGAGAAAGAGGUGCCUCAGAGGAAGACUAGUGAAACCAGAACAUUAGCAGCAAACCAUCCAUGGCACUGCAGGAGUUUUGCUUUGUUCUGCUGUGAUUACUUCACCUACAGCUGCCAAUGGGAGCUGCAAGGGAUGGUGCCUGCAGAGCCGCCUGACUGCACUUCCCCUCUGCCAGCAACAGCAAGGACAGGGAGCCGUUUGUGAGGAGAUGAGCUGCCUGAGAUCCUUGGAUGCUCCUCAGAUUUCUACCCACAUAUGCCAUGUAUAUUAUAAUUCAUAAUGAUAAAAAUAUUUGUAAUUUACCUAUAUAAGCAUGCCUUUUCUAACACGUAAUAGAUGCCAAAUCUAACAAAAGUAUAUUAUUUUCUUUUACAUUUAAAAAACAAAAAGAGAAGGAUAUGCCCAUAAAAAUGUUA
This is a long non-coding RNA of Mauremys reevesii (Reeves's turtle), 688 nucleotides long. RefSeq lists it as uncharacterized. The record is from RefSeq and is a predicted model, not a curated record. The transcript is spliced from 6 exons. Lineage: Eukaryota; Metazoa; Chordata; Testudines; Geoemydidae.